CAACUUUUAACAAUGGAUCUCUUGGUUCUCGCAUCGAUGAAGAACGUAGCAAAGUGCGAUAACUAGUGUGAAUUGCAUAUUCAGUGAAUCAUCGAGUCUUUGAACGCAUCUUGCACUCAAUGGUAUUCCAUUGAGUACGCCUGUUUCAGUAUCA
Molecule: ribosomal RNA, 154 nt
Filed under: Rhizomucor sp. Rm-33
Lineage: Eukaryota; Fungi; Mucoromycota; Mucoromycetes; Mucorales; Lichtheimiaceae
Description: 5.8S ribosomal RNA
Rfam family: 5.8S ribosomal RNA
About the family: 5.8S ribosomal RNA (5.8S rRNA) is a component of the large subunit of the eukaryotic ribosome. It is transcribed by RNA polymerase I as part of the 45S precursor that also contains 18S and 28S rRNA.
Source: RNAcentral